This 451-nucleotide long non-coding RNA is filed under the name Cicer arietinum (chickpea). Its description in RNAcentral is "long non-coding RNA (CARI_LNC001926)". The record is from RNAcentral. Lineage: Eukaryota; Viridiplantae; Streptophyta; Magnoliopsida; Fabales; Fabaceae.
UGUGUGUAAGGGGAAAGAAAGGAAACGAGGAAAGAAGAAGAGGAAAAAAAAAACAAAGAAAAGACAAGACGGAGAAGAGAGAAAAAAAUUAACUUCAUUGCAUGUCCCUCUCAAGCUCCCUCGUUCCAUCAUCUCAACAUAGAAACAACUUCACACCAGUAAAAGAGGAUCAAGAAAAAGAGUGAAAUGAGAAAUUAUGAGAAAGAAGAAAAUGAAAGCUGAGAUUUCAAUAUAGGAAAAGAAAUUUAUCGUUCUUGCAUGUUGAAAAGAAAUAUUAAAACUUGAAGAGGAGUUAAAGUUUCACUUAGAGGAAAAGGAAUUAGAAUCAAACUUUGGGGUCUCAAAUAUUUUCUUAAGGUAACAUAGAAAAUCAUCUUAAAACAUCUUUUAGGAGUGCUUAGAGAUAUUGGUUUCAUGUUUCUAAUAUAUGUUCAUGAUUUGUAUAUUUAAG